AACGAACGCUGGCGGCAUGCCUAACACAUGCAAGGCGAACGAGACCUUCGUGUCGAGUGGCGCACGGGUGCGUAACGCGUGGGAACCUGCGCUUAGGUUCGGAAUAACCCCCCGAAAGGGGUGCUAAUACCGGAUAAUGUCUGCGGACCAAAGAUUUAUCGCCUUUGGAUGGGCCCGCGUUGGAUUAGCUAGUUGGUAGGGUAAAAGCCUACCAAGGCGACGAUCCAUAGCUGGUCUGAGAGGAUGAUCAGCCACACUGGGACUGAGACACGGCCCAGACCCGUACGGGACGCAGUAGUGGGGACUAUUGGACAAUAGGCGAAAGCCUGCUCCAGCAGUGCCGAGUGAGCGAUGAAGGCCUUAGGGUUGUAAAGCUCUUUUCCCCGGGAUGAUAAUGACAGUACCGGAAGAAUAAGACCCGCCUAACCCCGUG
RNAcentral lists this ribosomal RNA (433 nucleotides) under uncultured bacterium. RNAcentral's name for it is "partial 16S ribosomal RNA". It matches the Rfam family "Bacterial small subunit ribosomal RNA", at positions 29 to 507 of the family's 1533-position model. The record is from RNAcentral.